AGUCCAUGGUAUGGACAUUUCCGAAACAAAUAUCUAAACCUUUCCCGUGAUUCAUAUAAUAAUUCACCAUUUAAUUGACUAAAACUAGUAAUGUCCAUUCUAAUUUU
Small nucleolar RNA from Coffea arabica (coffee), 107 nucleotides. Lineage: Eukaryota; Viridiplantae; Streptophyta; Magnoliopsida; Gentianales; Rubiaceae. The record is from RefSeq and is a predicted model, not a curated record.